This 226-nucleotide unclassified non-coding RNA is filed under the name uncultured Hygrocybe. RNAcentral describes it as "sequence contains ITS2". Lineage: Eukaryota; Fungi; Basidiomycota; Agaricomycetes; Agaricales; Hygrophoraceae. The record is from RNAcentral.
AAACAUCAAAAGAAAUUUGUUUCUUUUGGAACUGGAGUUGUGCUGGUCUUGCCUCCCUUUUCUUGGGAUUGCCCAGCUCCUCUAAAAUUCAUUUAGCAGAGUGCACCCAAACUUGCACAGCACUCUUCUUGGCCAUUGAUAGAUGUCUAUGUCCAAGUGGCUGGGCAGGUUUUGGGAAGGUCUCUGCUUAUAAUGGUCCACCAUGGACAACAUCCUUUGCUUGACA